Long non-coding RNA from Nematostella vectensis (starlet sea anemone), 384 nucleotides. RefSeq lists it as uncharacterized. Lineage: Eukaryota; Metazoa; Cnidaria; Anthozoa; Actiniaria; Edwardsiidae. The transcript is spliced from 2 exons. The record is from RefSeq and is a predicted model, not a curated record.
CUGGCUUUGAUGUUUGCAUCUAUUCUGUGAGCCGUCUAGCUACACAACAAAGCAUACAUACUUACCAAAGAUACCACAGUUUACGGAUGAUCGAUCCAACGAUCCGACGAUCGAGUGACACAGGAGUCCCUCCAAUAACUCUUAAAUGCUUUGCAAGCAUUCACGAGUUAAAAAUGGCAUUUUCUACAAGGUCGAAUUAGUCCUAUCGUCGAGUUUCAGCAAUUUUGGGGAGCUGUAGAGGCAUCAACCCUUGUUUGCCAAUCUCAGUACUGCCAGUACCCAUGGCAGUGUUUUUACUGCAGAUUCAAUUGCAAACAAGGGUUGGAUUCCUGAUCGCCCUCAAUUGGGCAUCAACAGAAAACAGUUUGCCAUGGUAAGGCAUAA